Molecule: ribosomal RNA, 499 nt
Filed under: uncultured soil bacterium
Lineage: Bacteria
Description: bacterial SSU rRNA
Rfam family: Bacterial small subunit ribosomal RNA
Source: RNAcentral
AGAUUGAACGCUGGCGGCAGGCCUAACACAUGCAAGUCGAGCGGCAGCACGGGUGCUUGUACCUGGUGGCGAGCGGCGGACGGGUGAGUAAUGCCUAGGAAUCUGCCUGAUAGUGGGGGAUAACGUUCGGAAACGGACGCUAAUACCGCAUACGUCCUACGGGAGAAAGUGGGGGAUCUUCGGACCUCACGCUAUCAGAUGAGCCUAGGUCGGAUUAGCUAGUUGGUAGGUAAAGGCCUACCAAGGCUACGAUCCGUAACUGGUCUGAGGGGAUGAUCAGUCACACUGGAACUGAGACACGGUCCAGACUCCUACGGGAGGCAGCAGUGGGGAAUAUUGGACAAUGGGCGAAAGCCUGAUCCAGCCAUGCCGCGUGUGUGAAGAAGGUCUUCGGAUUGUAAAGCACUUUAAGUUGGAGAAGGCAUUAACCUAAUACGUUAGUGUUUUUGACGUUACCGACAGAAUAAGCACGGCUAACUCUGUGCCAGCAGCCGCGUAA